Long non-coding RNA from Cyprinus carpio (common carp), 1185 nucleotides. Lineage: Eukaryota; Metazoa; Chordata; Actinopteri; Cypriniformes; Cyprinidae. The record is from Ensembl.
CGGUAGUGACGUCAUGGGCUGUCGCCAGCCAACAUGUUGUUAGUGAUUUUCAAUGUAUGCUUCAGACACGGGUCACGAUGAGGCAUUCCCCAUAGCGACCCCUAGAGGACGCAGUCUCUCGUUCCCUACUCAGGGAACCAUGGUUACAUAAGUAACCUGAGAUGUUUUCUCUUUCCUCACAUGUUUCAGGGUGACACAACACUGCUGUACCUGCUCUGUGGAUGUGUGUGAGUUUGUUUCCUGACUUGGAAGCAAAGAGCUUGUUACAGAUCUCCCUAGGAGAUGCCUGGGGAAAGACAGACAGCCAUUUCCAACAUGUCUACAGUUGUCUUUUUCUCAUUCUCCUCGUCCCUUUUUUUUAAUUGAAGCCAGUGCUGUCUGGAGUGUCAGACAAUGUGUGGAGCUCCCAACGGCAGCAGGAAAAGCCCUGGAUGUCCAUGGCAUCUGCUGCCUGACACUCGGCCCACAGUGGAAAUUCCUUAUCCCUGCUCUGGUGUCUGCAUGUGUGUUUUAAGUCUAAGUGGAGUGACAUGGGGGACGGGAAGAGGAAGCAGCCAAAUACACUGCGGUCCGAGUUUAAUUGACUGUGUGCUGGAGUUCAUCAAAGUUGCUAUGGCAUAUGUGGACACAUUUUUCAGUUUUCUUUUACACAUGCAUAUAGAUGCGUCUCCACCACAGUGAGGAUGUCGAGGUAGCCUACUUCUUUUGUGUGUCUCUUGAUAUGAGCUCUCUUCAGAGUGCUGUAAAGUCACCAGACUGCUCCGUUUCAGGCUGUCCUCACGGCAGCCAUAGCUGGGGAGCGCAAUGUUGGCGUCUGCAACACUAACUGAGCUCCUCAACAGCUGAAUGGCAUCACUCCCCUUCGCUUUGCCAAAAAGAGGGGUAGUGUGUUGCUUGGUAACAGUUCCAGGAUAUUCAGAUGAGGUCUGAUAUGGCAGUCGGCUGAGGAUUGAAGAGUGGAGAGGGGUGUAGAGCUAUUUAUUCAUUUAACCGGCAGCUGCUAACCUUGGAUAAUUAUAUGGAAUUUGAAGUGAGCGGCAUAUUUGCAUAAUCCUUAAGCCCCCCCCCACCACCACUACCACCACCAACAGCAACAAUAAUCUGACCAUGAACUUUUUCACACCGUCGCUGGGUUUUAUUGUCAUUCUGAAUAAACUGUUAACCUUUAUUGUCUGUUCCUCGCGC